This 296-nucleotide ribosomal RNA is filed under the name uncultured Lentisphaera sp. RNAcentral describes it as "partial 16S ribosomal RNA". It matches the Rfam family "Bacterial small subunit ribosomal RNA", at positions 29 to 334 of the family's 1533-position model. The record is from RNAcentral. Lineage: Bacteria; Pseudomonadati; Lentisphaerota; Lentisphaeria; Lentisphaerales; Lentisphaeraceae.
AAUGAACGCUGGCGGCAUGGAUUAGGCAUGCAAGUGGAACGGGCACUUCGGUGUCAGUCGCGAAAGGGUGAGUAACGCGUGAACAAUCUGCCCUCAAGUUUGGAAUAACUUCUGGAAACGGGAGCUAAUACCAGAUGUGGUCAUUUUAAGGCAUCUUGAAAUGACUAAAAGUUUACUGCUUGAGGAUGAGUUCGCGUCCCAUUAUGCUAGUUGGUAAGGUAACGGCUUACCAAGGCUAUGACGGGUAGGUGGUCUGAGAGGAUGGUCACCCACACUGGAACUGAGAUACUGUCCAG